UACGGAGGGUGCGAGCGUUAAUCGGAAUCACUGGGCGUAAAGCGCACGUAGGCUGUAAAGUAAGUCAGAGGUGAAAUCCCACGGCUCAACCGUGGAACUGCCUUUGAUACUGCUUAACUAGAAUCCGGGAGAGGGUGGCGGAAUUCCAGGUGUAGGAGUGAAAUCCGUAGAUAUCUGGAGGAACAUCAGUGGCGAAGGCGGCCACCUGGACCGGUAUUGACGCUGAGGUGCGAAAGCGUGGGGAGCAAACAGG
RNAcentral lists this ribosomal RNA (253 nucleotides) under uncultured bacterium. RNAcentral describes it as "partial 16S ribosomal RNA". It matches the Rfam family "Bacterial small subunit ribosomal RNA", at positions 524 to 776 of the family's 1533-position model. The record is from RNAcentral.